RNAcentral lists this long non-coding RNA (532 nucleotides) under Androctonus crassicauda. The record is from RNAcentral. Lineage: Eukaryota; Metazoa; Arthropoda; Arachnida; Scorpiones; Buthidae.
GAAUAAUAUAAAUACCUACGGUUCCUGAUGCAAAUUGUUCCCGGUUUUGCUGUUGGUCAAGAAAGGUGCAACGCUGUUGGUCAGCGCGCCGGGUUUCCUUCGCGUCACCUCCCGCAGACGGCGACGCGACGCCGUCUGCGGGACAUUGUACUUCUUCAGUAGUUUUGAAUGUCCAUGAGUUUAGGUGAUAGGAAACUAAUGGCCAUUCAAAACUACUUAAGAAGUACAAUGUUUCAAGUCAGGAAACCAAGACGGGAUGAAGGACAGAUAAUCACUAAAUCAGAGUGUGGCAGAAACCAAGUGCAACUUGAUAUAGGAAGGCAUCUCCACAAUAAAAAAAAAGGAUCAACCUCUCUUCCGAGAUGCUGCUUAACUUACAACGACGAAGAAAAAGAGCUUGUUAUCUAAAGAACAAUUCUCGGAGUAAUUUACCUCCGAUUCUAUUUCUCAGGUAUAGUUUGGGAUAGCAUAUUCGAUUCCUUUCGAUCUCUAUCUUUAAUUCAAACCUAUACUCACAUCUCGGACUCCUCUU